This 171-nucleotide non-coding RNA is filed under the name human gut metagenome. The record is from RNAcentral. RNAcentral also lists the same sequence under 1 other name.
GCGGUGUCGCCGUGCGGAAUUGAAGAGGGAAUCAGGUGAGAAUCCUGAGCAGACCCGCUGCUGUGAACUCCGUGAACGAUGGUUGCAAUACUUUUGCCACUGUUUUUUCGUCAAGAAAAAUGGGAAGGCGCAACACAUCGGGAGUGAGCCAGAAGACCUGCCAAGAGCCAU